Molecule: ribosomal RNA, 429 nt
Filed under: Bacillota bacterium
Lineage: Bacteria; Bacillati; Bacillota
Description: Firmicutes bacterium partial 16S ribosomal RNA
Rfam family: Bacterial small subunit ribosomal RNA
Source: RNAcentral
UAGGGAAUCUUCCGCAAUGGACGAAAGUCUGACGGAGCAACGCCGCGUGAGUGAUGAAGGUUUUCGGAUCGUAAAACUCUGUUGUUAGGGAAGAACAAGUUGGGUAGUAACUGACCCAACCUUGACGGUACCUAACCAGAAAGCCACGGCUAACUACGUGCCAGCAGCCGCGGUAAUACGUAGGUGGCAAGCGUUGUCCGGAAUUAUUGGGCGUAAAGCGCUCGCAGGCGGUCUUUUAAGUCUGAUGUGAAAGCCCACGGCUUAACCGUGGAGGGUCAUUGGAAACUGGAGGACUUGAGUACAGAAGAGGAGAGUGGAAUUCCACGUGUAGCGGUGAAAUGCGUAGAGAUGUGGAAGAACACCAGUGGCGAAGGCGACUCUCUGGUCUGUAACUGACGCUGAGGAGCGAAAGCGUGGGUAGCGAACAGG